This 1736-nucleotide long non-coding RNA is filed under the name Gossypium barbadense (sea-island cotton). RNAcentral describes it as "long non-coding RNA (GBAR_LNC017742)". Lineage: Eukaryota; Viridiplantae; Streptophyta; Magnoliopsida; Malvales; Malvaceae. The record is from RNAcentral.
GGCUACAAUUAAAAGCUGUAUACAAUUAGAACUCUAAGACACAAUUAGAAGCUGUAUACAAUUAGAACUCUAAGAUUACAUAAUCAUAUCUUCUUGGAUCACUUCCCAUAUUUACCAGGCUCUUGGGAUGGGCUUUUAAUCUCUCCAGGCAACGGGCCAUUUGGUUGGGCUAAAUGACCUCCCUCAAAUACGAUGGAUCGCACAAGUUUGUCAUGGUUGCGUGCUCCCAUGCGCAACCCAUGACACUAACACGUGGUCAAAACCACUACUAUCUCAUAUUAAUGCUCUCUCUCGAGCCAUAACUGGGUCUGUUCACACAAGCUGUCAGUCAAGACGUAGCUACAUGGUGUUGCUCACAAAAGCUGUAAAGUAACCACAACACACGCCGAAAACUCAGUCACUGGUAGGACGUACGAGACCAGCACCCAAAACAUGGUAACCCCUAAUGACAUGUCAUUUGUAUCCUAUCAUUAAGAAUAUAAUAAUAAAAAUUUAAAUCAAAUAUAAUUUAAUGCUUAUUAAACAUACAAACUUACCUCGAAUUUGUUCAGAGAAAAUCGAUCGAUUACUCCAACGCUUUAUCUUUUUCCCGAUCAAAUUCCGUACGUUGCUUUUCUUAAUCUAUAUAAUCAAAUUUAACUAAUUUCAACCUCAUUCUAUUCAAUUCAAUCCAAAAUCAUGUUAUGGCAAAAUUACUAUUUUACCCCUAUACUUUUGUCUUCUUUACAAUUUAGUCCCUAGGCUCGUAAAAAUGAAAUUCAUGAAAUUUCACCCCUAACCAAACCUAGUCGAAUUUAAUAUAUGCUUAUAGCAACCCAUACAUUUCACAAUUUCACACAUUUACCAUACAAUUUUCACAUUUCUCAAUUUAAUCCCUAAUUAACAAUUUCAUUAAAAACCACUUAACAAAAGUUGUUUAACUCACAAUAAAGAUUCAUUUUCUUCCAUUAAACUUCACAAACAAUUAAAAAAUACUCAUGGUAAAACCCUAGACAUUCAACCAUUUUGAAAAUUAGUCACUUAGUUAGCUAGGUUAAGCUACCACGAUCUCGAAAACAUAAAAAAAAAUGAUAGCUUAUUUCUUUUAUUAAUUUAACCUUUAAUUACCAAAUUACCAAAUUACCCUUACCUAGCUUUAAAAAUAAAAAAAUUGCCAAGCCAUGCACAUCCACUAUCACCUUUAAUGGUCUAAUUACCAUAUAAGUACCUUCACUUUAAAGUUCUAUAACUAUUUAAUACCUUUAGCUAUUAGAACAUAACUUUUGCAUUUUACGCGAUUUAGUCCUUUUCAUCAAAUUGAACAUGCAAACGGUAAAAUUUCUUAACAAAAUUUUUAUACUAUAAUACUAUCAUGCUGUAGAUCAAAAAAUAAUAUUAAAAUAAUUUUUUUGACUUCAGAUUUGUGAUUCUGAUACCACUGUUCUGAUUUAAUUGAAAACGGACUGUUACAUAUUUGGCUUCCAAUUAUGUUGGCAAUAAAUAUAAUCUAUUUCAAUUAAGAAAUAAUUAUAUUCAUAGAUCAUAAGCGGGAUCUAACAACCCAUCAUAAGCCUUAAUUAUUAGAAUAGUCAAAAUAUUUUUUUUGACAAAUUCUUUCAGAGUUCAGUAUUUAUGUGUAAUUAAUACUUCCAUCAUAUAUUCAGAUAAGCUAAAAGUCUUGACACAGUGUCUACCUUUUUUUAUCCAUGUUAGUCUUGCAACUUCUUGUAUUAACCUUGACUAAUUGCCUUGGCUAA